ACUGCUUGCUCCAGGCAGGGAGAAAGCUUAUGGAAAUUAUAUUAGACCUUCAGCAAAGUGCACAGCUGCAUCAUACAGAAGCUGAGACUCAAACUGACAGGCAAAUAAGCCAGAUCACGGAAGGGGCCUCUGUGUGGCAGCUCUGAGCUACCAAGUGUUGGACAACUAGGCAAAAAGUGCAAUGGAACAGGGCAGAAAAUAACACACUAACUUCAGGCAACUGUUGCUUAUUCAUGGACUGGAAAGGAACAUUUUCCAUAGAUGUCGGUUUCUGUCUCUGUGAUGCUGCACUCUGAGUGAUGCCACAUUCAGCACUGAGUACUACUGGCAAAGUCAGAGGCUUCUCAGAAUGAGGUGCACAGCUGCCAUUCCAGGUGUACAGCUGCCAUUCCAUCUCACAGCAGGGCUGUGUUUGCUGCUCCACAAGCUGCAGAGCAAGAGAAGCCAACUUGAGGAGCUUGCAC
Molecule: long non-coding RNA, 464 nt
Organism: Ficedula albicollis (Collared flycatcher)
Lineage: Eukaryota; Metazoa; Chordata; Aves; Passeriformes; Muscicapidae
Exons: 4
Source: RefSeq, a predicted model, not a curated record